CACCGCGGUUAUACGAGAGGCCCAAGCUGAUAGAUUUCGGCGUAAAGAGUGGUUAAGGAAAUCCUAAAACUAAAGCCGAACAUCCUCAAAGCUGUUAUACGCACCCGAAGACAAGAAGUUCAACCACGAAAGUGGCUUUAUUCCCCUGAACCCACGAAAGCUAAGGCACAAACUGGGAUUAGAUACCCCACUAUGCCUAGCCCUAAACAUUGAUGGUAAAUUACACCUACCAUCCGCCUGGGAACUACGAGCAUUAGCUUAAAACCCAAAGGACUUGGCGGUGCUUUAGAUCCACCUAGAGGAGCCUGUUCUAGAACCGAUAACCCCCGUUCAACCUCACCCCUCCUUGUUAAAACCGCCUAUAUACCGCCGUCGUCAGCUUACCCUGUGAAGGUUAAAUAGUAAGCACAAUUGGCACAACCCAACACGUCAGGUCGAGGUGUAGCGUAUGGAGGGGAAAGAAAUGGGCUACAUUCCCUAUUAUAGUGAAAACGAAUGAUGCACUGAAACAUAAAUCUGAAGGAGGAUUUAGUAGUAAGUAGGAACUAGAGCGUCCCACUGAAACUGGCCCUGAAGCGCGCACACACCGCCCGUCACUCUCCCCUAACCUAAAAAAAAUAUAAAUAAAACCCUACUAUCGUAAAGGGGAGGCAAGUCGUAA
This 661-nucleotide ribosomal RNA is filed under the name Cheimarrichthys fosteri. Its description in RNAcentral is "partial small subunit ribosomal RNA". It matches the Rfam family "Bacterial small subunit ribosomal RNA", at positions 513 to 1491 of the family's 1533-position model. Lineage: Eukaryota; Metazoa; Chordata; Actinopteri; Uranoscopiformes; Cheimarrichthyidae. The record is from RNAcentral.